Molecule: ribosomal RNA, 503 nt
Filed under: uncultured bacterium
Lineage: Bacteria
Description: partial 16S ribosomal RNA
Rfam family: Bacterial small subunit ribosomal RNA
Source: RNAcentral
GAUGAAUGCUGGCGGCGUGCUUAACACAUGCAAGUCGAGCGGGGUGAUGGUGCUUGCACUAUCACUUAGCGGCGGACGGGUGAGUAAUGCUUAGGAAUCUGCCUAUUAGUGGGGGACAACAUCUCGAAAGGGAUGCUAAUACCGCAUACGUCCUACGGGAGAAAGCAGGGGAUCACUUGUGACCUUGCGCUAAUAGAUGAGCCUAAGUCGGAUUAGCUAGUUGGUGGGGUAAAGGCCUACCAAGGCGACGAUCUGUAGCGGGUCUGAGAGGAUGAUCCGCCACACUGGGACUGAGACACGGCCCAGACUCCUACGGGAGGCAGCAGUGGGGAGUAUUGGACAAUGGGGGGAACCCUGAUCCAGCCAUGCCGCGUGUGUGAAGAAGGCCUUAUGGUUGUAAAGCACUUUAAGCGAGGAGGAGGCUCUUUUGGUUAAUACCCAAGAUGAGUGGACGUUACUCGCAGAAUAAGCACCGGCUAACUCUGUGCCAGCCGCCGCAGUAA